Long non-coding RNA from Podarcis raffonei (Aeolian wall lizard), 408 nucleotides. RefSeq lists it as uncharacterized. Lineage: Eukaryota; Metazoa; Chordata; Lepidosauria; Squamata; Lacertidae. The record is from RefSeq and is a predicted model, not a curated record. The transcript is spliced from 2 exons.
CCAGCUUGUUGCUAGGCUCUUUGGACAACAGAUUUGCAAGCCCUGUGCCAGGUGGUGGCCAUCUGCCUUUUAAAAGUCCACGAUGACCUUGACCUCCUCUCUCCUUCUGAUCCUGCCAUUUCCUUUAAGCCUCGCCUUCGUCUUUCAUUCCUCUCAUUGUGAUGCUUUUAUUGUCAAGAGCUGAACUUCACACCGAGGCUACCUCAACCCACAGGCUUUGGAACAAAAGAUAGCAUGGGCACUAAAAAGCACCAGGAACAAGAGACAGAAUUAGCAGGCAAGACUGCAGUGGAGUGAGAAAAGAAAGUCAACUAAAGUUAGUCCUGUGAUCACCCAGGUGAACUUGUCCCUAAGUUUCUCCUGGCCUCAAGAAACCUUUAUGAUUACAAAAACCAUCCUACUUCUUAA